RNAcentral lists this ribosomal RNA (465 nucleotides) under uncultured bacterium. RNAcentral describes it as "partial 16S ribosomal RNA". It matches the Rfam family "Bacterial small subunit ribosomal RNA", at positions 28 to 507 of the family's 1533-position model. The record is from RNAcentral.
GAUGAACACUGGCGGCGUGCUUAACACAUGCAAGUCGAACGGAAAGGCCCAAGCUUGCUUGGGUACUCGAGUGGCGAACGGGUGAGUAACACGUGGGUGAUCUGCCCUGCACUUCGGGAUAAGCCUGGGAAACUGGGUCUAAUACCGGAUAGGACCACAUUUUGGAUGGUGUGGUGGAAAGUUUUUCGGUGUGGGAUGAGCUCGCGGCCUAUCAGCUUGUUGGUGGGGUAAUGGCCUACCAAGGCGUCGACGGGUAGCCGGCCUGAGAGGGUGUACGGCCACAUUGGGACUGAGAUACGGCCCAGACUCCUACGGGAGGCAGCAGUGGGGAAUAUUGCACAAUGGGCGCAAGCCUGAUGCAGCGACGCCGCGUGGGGGAUGACGGCCUUCGGGUUGUAAACUCCUUUCGCUAGGGACGAAGCGCAAGUGACGGUACCUGGAGAAGAAGCACCGGCUAACUACGUG